Rattus rattus (black rat) is the source of this 639-nucleotide long non-coding RNA. RefSeq lists it as uncharacterized. Lineage: Eukaryota; Metazoa; Chordata; Mammalia; Rodentia; Muridae. The transcript is spliced from 2 exons. The record is from RefSeq and is a predicted model, not a curated record.
UGUGUGUGUGUGUGUGUUCGUGUGCGCAGGUGCGCACACGUGCCUGGAUGUAUGUUUGUAUACCAUGUGCUUAUAUUGUUCAUGGAGGCCAGGAAACUGUCUCCUGGAGCUAGAGUUAAAAGGCCUUAACCCCUGAACCAUCUCUCUUGUCCUGGAUUCCUGUUCCUUUAUGUCUGCCUGUAAUUUAAAUCAGGUUUGAUUUAGAAAAAGGACUCAAAGUCAGAGCAACAUCUUCACUACAUCUUAAAAAUUAAGAAUGUGGAGAAAUACUUGGAAUGAAAUGCGCCAUCACCCAUAAAGAGUGAGUUUUUGCAAGAAGAAUUUGAGAUUUGCAGAAGAUCUGCAAACUCCCAUUGGAUGGGUUGAGGUGGGAGUGGGAAGGUGGGCGCUAGCUGAGGAGGUAUUGGCAUUUGGUAACUGCUGGGUUUUCAGUGAUGGGAUUCCUGGUAGCUUAGCCAUAAGCCAGAGCAGGUCCUACUUGUAAUGAGGACCUUGAGCAAUGUAACCUGGAAUCAAUGGAAAGGGGAUGUUGGCUAGGAGCCUGGGAGGAUGGUUAUGGGAGGACCCCAUAAAAUACAAAAUACAUUGUAUGAAAUUCUCACGAAAUAAAAAUACUCUUUAAAAAUCUUUUCUAAAAAA